This 1785-nucleotide long non-coding RNA is filed under the name Pongo abelii (Sumatran orangutan). RNAcentral's name for it is "lincRNA". The record is from RNAcentral. Lineage: Eukaryota; Metazoa; Chordata; Mammalia; Primates; Hominidae.
AGGAGUUAGAAGUUACUUCUUUGUGCUGAUGUGGUGAUGCAUGGGAUGUUACAGAGCCAGCCACAGACAUAAUUGACAGCUGGACCCAGCUCCUGUUUAUAAGGUUUAAGUCUACUACCCAUCCGAUAUGGUUAGGCUUUGUGUCGCUGUCCACAUCUUAUCUUGAAUUGUAAUUCUCACAAUCCUCAUAAUCUCCACCUGUCAAGGGAGUGACCAGGUGGAGCUGAACAGAGCAGUUCUGAUUACCUAUUGGCCACUGGAAUCAUGGAAGGGGGAAGAAUCAUGUGCUUCUGAAUGUGUAGAUCUCUUUCAUCUAACGGAAUUGCACCACACCUAAAGUUUUGGUAUCAGGAUGAUGCUGGCUUCAGAAAAUGAGAUAGGAAGAAGUCCUUAGGGACCAAUGGAACAGAACAGAACACUCAGAAAAAUAACACCACACAUCUACAACCAUCUGAUCCUUGACAAACCUGACAAAAACAAGCAAUGGGGAAAUAAUUCCUUAUUUAAUAAAUGGUGUUGGGAAAACUGGCUAGCCAUACGCAGAAAACUGAAACUGGGUCAAUUCCUUAACACAUUAUAUGAAAAUUAACUCAAGAUGGAUUAAAGACUUAAAUGUAUGACAUAAAACCAUAAAAACCCUAGAAGAAAACCUAGGCAAUAUCAUUCAGGACAUAGGCAUGGGCAAAGACUUCAUGACUAAAACACCAAAAGCAAUUGCAGCAAAAAACAAAAUUGACAAAGGGGAUGUAAUUAAAGUAAAGAGCAUCUACACAGCAAAAGAAACUAUCAUCAGAGUGAACAGGCAACAUACAGAAUGGGAGAAAAUUUUUGAAAUCUAUCAAUCUGACAAAGGGUUCAUAUGCAGAAUCUACUGUGAGCUUAAACAAAUUUACAAGAAAAAAGCAAACAACCCUAUCAAAAACUGGGCAAAGGAUAUCUACAGAUACUUCUCAAAGAAGACAUUUAUGCAGCCAACAAACAUGAAAAAAAAAAAGCUCAUCAUCACUGGUCAUUAGAGAAAUGCAAAUCAAAACCACAAUCAGAUACCAUCUCACGCCAGUUAGAAUGGUGAUCAUUAAAAAGUCAGGAAACAACAGAUGCUGGAGAGGAUGUGGAGAAAUAGGAACACUUUUAUACUGUUGGUGGGAGUGUAAAUUAGUUCAACCAUUGUGGAAGACAUUCUGGAGAUUCCUCAAGGAUCUAGAAUCAGAAAUACCGUUUGACCCAGCAAUCCCAAUACUGGAUAUACACCCAAAGGAGUAUAAAUCAUUCUACUAUAAAGACACAUGCAUACAAAUGUUUAUUGCAACACUGUUCACAAUACCAAAGACUUGGAACAAACCCAAAUGCCCAUCAAUGAUAGACUGGAUAAAGAAAAUGUGGCACAUAUACACCAUGGAAUAUUAUGCAGCCAUAAAAAAGGAGAGUUCAUGUUCUUUGAGGGAACAUGGUUGAAGCUGGAAACUAUCAUUCUCAUAAAACUAACACAGAAACAGAACAGCAAACACCACAUGUUCUCACUCAUAGGUGGGACUUGAACAAUGAGAACACAUGGACACUGGGAGUGGAACAUCACACAUCAGAGCCUGUUGAGGGGUUGGAAGCAAGGAGAGGGAGAACAUUAGGCCAAAUACGUAAUGCAUGCUGGGCUUAAAACCUAGAUAAUGGGUUGAUGGCUGCAGCAAACCACGACGGCACAUGUAUACCUACAUAAAAAACCUGCACGUUCUGUACAUGUAUCCCAGAACUUAAAGUAUAAUAAUAAAAAAAAGUUUCACAUGUAAA